CUUCAGCGACCUCGUCUAUCUGCGACGCUGGUGCGGUUGCGUGUACGUGCUUCAUGCAUACAGGUGCCCUCUCCUCUUCCGCGCGCCCACCCCACCGCACACAAACACACACACACACACAGACAGGUGAGGGCUACGGCAUUGGUAAUCUUAUUUUUCUGUGUUUACCGCGUUCAAAUUUCAAGCAGGAUUAAUGUUCUUCUGGAUGGUGGUUGCCCUGCUGGUGGCCAUCGCUAUCGUGGUGACUCCAGCAGGGAAACUGGCCGCUGCCAAAUGCCAGCUGUACGCCCAUGGCGUUGUCUUCAUGGCCAAGGCAGAGGAUCUGCCAAAGGCAUACAGAGGCACCAAUUACAUACGCAUGAACACCGUCGGCGACGGCACUGGGGGCAAGCGAAUGAUUCGUGUCAUUUUCAUCCGCCACGGGCAGUCCGUGUGGAAUUCGCUCUUCAACUCGUGCAACCUCGGCUUGCCUGUGCGCGUGGCGAAGGCGGCAGCUCGCGAGUUUACUGAUUUCUUCACGAAUCCCUUUGGCUCAUGCAUUAUCGACUCCCCGCUGAGCAGCAAAGGCAAGAGAGAGGCGCAGGACCUCGCCAGCUUCAUGCGUACUGCCAAGACGAAGAUCUCCUUCGAUCCAAGGACUUCAGUGGUGGUUUCUAGCAAUCUGCGCCGCGCGAUGGAGACGGCGCUCAUCGGCGUGUCGCCGCGCCUGACGGUAACGCAGGAGCGAAUCGUGAUGGACUCGUCUCUACAGGAGGGCUCGCAGAACAUCGACGCCCAAAGCCUCUCGACCGAGCCUGGGAAGAUUGCGCCGUGUAAGCUCGGCACCAUCACCCAUCCUUUGGAGCUCGCUGUCGUCUUCGACCCCUAUCUGAACGCUGGAAACCGAGUGGCCGGCGUGGACGUUUACCAGCGCAUGGAUGAGUUCAUUAUGCACCUGUUUGGCGGCAGUGGUGAAGCCAAUCUUGUCCCGGCCGCUGGAGGCAGCAACGCUGCCCUGAAGGAGGUGAUCGUGGUGGGCCACAGCGGGUACUUCCGCAGCUUCUUCCGUCGCUUUCUCCCACCGCAUUCCACUCACAUCUCGAAAAAGAGCAAGAUGCAAAACUGCGCCGUAGUAGCGUUUGAACUGACACGUGACGAGUCCAGCGACGAGGUAGCCGUGGAGGAGUCGACGCUAAAGGUGUUGUACAAAGGAUUCGCGUGAAAAACGAAAAAGACGUUGUACUCUCCCUCUUUACGCCUACGCGGAGUUGGCAGAAAAGAUGCUCGGGGAGGAGGAACAGAGGUCACAACGGCGCGCUUUCGUUGCGUUACCGGCUUCUCUCGGCGGUGCGGGUGCCGAAGCUGCACACUGCCGGCUUAGCAUUCGUUCUCUCUUUUUCUUUUUGCCUAG
This 1390-nucleotide unclassified non-coding RNA is filed under the name Leishmania donovani. RNAcentral's name for it is "gene:LdHU3.35.6400(CDS-product:Histidine_phosphat ase_superfamily_(branch_1)_putative)". Lineage: Eukaryota; Euglenozoa; Kinetoplastea; Trypanosomatida; Trypanosomatidae. The record is from RNAcentral.